CAGCAGCCGCGGUAAUACGUAGGGUGCGAGCGUUAAUCGGAAUUACUGGGCGUAAAGCGUGCGCAGGCGGUUCGUUAAGACAGAUGUGAAAUCCCCGGGCUUAACCUGGGAACUGUAUUUGUGACUGGCGAGCUAGAGUAUGGCAGAGGGGGGUAGAAUUCCACGUGUAGCAGUGAAAUGCGUAGAGAUGUGGAGGAACACCGAUGGCGAAGGCAGCCCCCUGGGCCAAUACUGACGCUCAUGCACGAAAGCGUGGGGAGCAAACAGGAUUAGAUACCCGGGUAGUCCCUGUCUCUUAUAC
Molecule: ribosomal RNA, 301 nt
Filed under: uncultured bacterium
Lineage: Bacteria
Description: partial 16S ribosomal RNA
Rfam family: Bacterial small subunit ribosomal RNA
Source: RNAcentral